UACGAAGGGGGCGAGCGUUAUUCGGAAUCACUGGGCGUAAAGCGUGCGUAGGCUGUUUUGUAAGUUGGGAGUGAAAGCCCAGGGCUCAACCCUGGAAUUGCUCUCAAAACUACAAGACUCGGAUUUGGGAGAGGAUAGCGGAAUUGUCAGUGUAGCAGUGAAAUGCGUAGAUAUUGACAGGAACACCAGUGGCGCAAGCGGCUAUCUGGACCAACAGCGACGCUGAGGCACGAAAGCGUGGGGAUCAAACAGG
This 253-nucleotide ribosomal RNA is filed under the name uncultured bacterium. Its description in RNAcentral is "partial 16S ribosomal RNA". It matches the Rfam family "Bacterial small subunit ribosomal RNA", at positions 524 to 776 of the family's 1533-position model. The record is from RNAcentral.